This 352-nucleotide unclassified non-coding RNA is filed under the name Hevea brasiliensis (rubber tree). The record is from RNAcentral. Lineage: Eukaryota; Viridiplantae; Streptophyta; Magnoliopsida; Malpighiales; Euphorbiaceae.
UCAUGGCUCAUCAACUCUAUGCAAUCUUAGAUAACCCGCCAAUAUUUAUUGUUAAACAGUACAGCUACCAUUUGGAGUGUUAUUUCUCAAACUUAUUCUCAAGUGGGCAAUAAUACACCGGUAUAUGAGUUGAGAAAUAAGGUUCAUAGUACAAAACAAGGUGAGAUAACUAUUGCUCAAUACUUUACUGAACUAAGUAGUUUAUGGUAGGAAUUGGAUUACUAUUAAGACUUUCAAGCCACAUGUGCCAGUGUCGCAGUUAAGUUUCAGAAGUUGGUUGAGAAAGAGUAGAUCUAUGAUUUUCUUGUUGGGAUGAAUAUGUAAUAUAAUCAAAUUAGGGUCCAAGUGCUUG